This 1101-nucleotide ribosomal RNA is filed under the name Triticum aestivum (bread wheat). Its description in RNAcentral is "partial small subunit ribosomal RNA". The record is from RNAcentral. Lineage: Eukaryota; Viridiplantae; Streptophyta; Magnoliopsida; Poales; Poaceae.
AUGGACAUAUGGAUUGAGUGGUACCCACCUGAAAGAUACACAUCUCAGCAGCCAAGAACUUCAAUAAAAAUGUAUAUCCCAACUCCUUUUAUAAUCUUGAAUGCUUCUCGGUCAACGUCGGUGUCACUUCCAGUCUUGGAUGCUACCAGGAUGCCAGGGAAGAGGUAUGAAAUUCUCAACUUAGGAAGGAACAUACAACCUAUAAUGUGUCGAUCACUAACUAAUAAACAGGAGUCUGAUGUUGGAAAGAAGCAACUGGUGUGCAUUUUGUAUGCAUUGGAAUUAGAUUCAGAAUGCAUGAUGAUUGGUUUCUUAUGUGUUCAUAUAGGAAGUUUGACGCAGUACAGUGCGGGGGAGGCGGUGUCCUCUGCAGCUAGGUCUACUUGCUGGCGACCUCACCAUCACCAACCCAUCUACAGAUCCAGAAGCUCACGCAUGGAGGACAUGGACAUUGGUAUCGUCUGUGACGAGGGUUCCCCAGGAUCAAUAGCGUCAAGGACAGGAACGCCUGUGCCCAAUGAUAAUGACUACCUGAUAGUGAUUCCUUAUGCUCACAUCUUUGGCCUCAUGCUGCAAGCUCUAAAGCUGCCCCCUGCAACUUACCAGCACAAAAUAUACCCAGGCGGAAAGAAUCGUGUGACAGUGACUUUCAUUUCUACUUUGGAAUUGCUAGAUGGUUCACUUGUCCCGAGUUCUAUACCAGGUGCAAUCUUAGAUAGCUAUGAAGAUGCAGAAGACAGUGCUGCUAUGGAGGCUAUUAGAUUCAUGGAGAAUGCAUAUGGCAAAGAAAUGAGGGGCUACCACUACACCCAUGUCAAGAGGCUAGAAAAUCAAGUGACGCACCUGGUCAAAUGGUUGACUUCAUCCAAUGAGACAAUCAAGAAGCUGCGCAAAACAUGCUACUACGCUGUCAGGUACAUGAACUCAUAUUCUGCCCGGAUAGAAAACACAACAGCUGCUCGCCACCUGAAAGGUCAGGACAACACCAAAGGAGUUAUGAAAACAGCUCUUGCAAGCAUCGAAGGACUGACGCAAAGGCUACGCUACAUUGCUAUGAAGUUUGAGCAGCGCCUUGAAGCAACCAGAAAUAGUUUCUGGUAA